GUGUUCACUUCAGCAGCACAUAUACUAAAAUUGAAACAGAGAAGAUUAGCAUGGCCCCUGCACAAGGAUGACACGCAAAUUCGUGAAGCGUUCCAUAUUAAA
Suncus etruscus (white-toothed pygmy shrew) is the source of this 102-nucleotide small nuclear RNA. Lineage: Eukaryota; Metazoa; Chordata; Mammalia; Eulipotyphla; Soricidae. The record is from RefSeq and is a predicted model, not a curated record.